AAGCUUAUGAUGACAAAAACAAUUAUCUUAGCGGAUUUCAGUGAGGUUUUAAUGAUCAAUGAUCUGAUUUUGUUACACACACUGAAGCUU
Eutrema salsugineum is the source of this 90-nucleotide small nucleolar RNA. It matches the Rfam family "Small nucleolar RNA R11/Z151". Rfam says of the family: snoR11/Z151 is a member of the C/D class of snoRNA which contain the C (UGAUGA) and D (CUGA) box motifs. Most of the members of the box C/D family function in directing site-specific 2'-O-methylation of substrate RNAs. NCBI's taxonomy places the organism in Eukaryota, Viridiplantae, Streptophyta, Magnoliopsida, Brassicales, Brassicaceae. The record is from Rfam.